RNAcentral lists this ribosomal RNA (430 nucleotides) under Bacteroidota bacterium. RNAcentral describes it as "Bacteroidetes bacterium partial 16S ribosomal RNA". It matches the Rfam family "Bacterial small subunit ribosomal RNA", at positions 355 to 776 of the family's 1533-position model. The record is from RNAcentral. Lineage: Bacteria; Pseudomonadati; Bacteroidota.
UAGGGAAUCUUCGGCAAUGGGGGGAACCCUGACCGAGCAACGCCGCGUGAGUGAAGAAGGUUUUCGGAUCGUAAAGCUCUGUUGUUAAGGAAGAACGAGUGUGAGAAUGGAAAGUUCAUUCUGUGACGGUACUUAACCAGAAAGGGACGGCUAACUACGUGCCAGCAGCCGCGGUAAUACGUAGGUCCCGAGCGUUGUCCGGAUUUAUUGGGCGUAAAGCGAGCGCAGGCGGUCAAUUAAGUCUGAUGUGAAAGCCCCCGGCUCAACCGGGGAGGGUCAUUGGAAACUGGUUGACUUGAGUGCAGAAGAGGAGAGUGGAAUUCCAUGUGUAGCGGUGAAAUGCGUAGAUAUAUGGAGGAACACCAGUGGCGAAGGCGACUCUCUGGUCUGUAACUGACGCUGAGGUUCGAAAGCGUGGGUAGCAAACAGG